CGGUUGAUCCUGCCGGAGGGGACCCCUAUCGGGCUCGGACUAAGCCAUGCGAGUCGGCUGGGGGCCCUUGCCCCUGGCGGCGCACGGCUCAGUAAUACACGGUCAACCUGCCCUGGGGACCGGGAUAACCUCGGGAAACUGAGGCUAAUCCCGGAUAGGGAUGGAUUCCUGGAAUGGGUCCAUCCCUAAAGUAGGCGGGGGAAUGGCCCCGCUGAGGCCCCAGGAUGGGACCGUGGCCUAUCAGGUGGUAGGUGGGGUAACGGCCCACCUAGCCUAAGACGGGUGCGGGCGGUGGGAGCCGGAGCCCGGAGAUGGGCACUGAGACAAGGGCCUAGGCCCUACGGGGCGCAGCAGGCGCGAAACUUCCCCAAUGCGCGCAAGCGUGAGGGAGUGAGCCCGAGUGCCGCCCGCUGAGGGCGGCUGUUCCCGGGUGUAAACAACCCGGGGUAGGAAGGGGAGGGUAAGGCUGGUGCCAGCCGCCGCGGUAAAACCAGCUCCUCGAGGGGUCCCCACGCAUACUGGGCCUAAAGCGUCCGUAGCCGGCCCCGUAAGUCCCCGGUUAAAUCCACCGGAAGACCGGUGGGCUGCCGGGGGAUACUGCGGGGCUAGGGAGCGGGAGGGGCCGAGGGUAUUCCGGGGGAUAGCGGUAAAAU
RNAcentral lists this ribosomal RNA (653 nucleotides) under uncultured archaeon. RNAcentral's name for it is "bacterial SSU rRNA". It matches the Rfam family "Archaeal small subunit ribosomal RNA", at positions 5 to 638 of the family's 1478-position model. The record is from RNAcentral.